GCAUUGGUGGUUCAGUGGUAGAAUUCUAGCUUGCUAUGUUGGAGGCCUGGGUUCGAUUCCCAGCCAAUGCA
RNAcentral lists this transfer RNA (71 nucleotides) under Ameiurus melas (black bullhead). It matches the Rfam family "tRNA". Rfam says of the family: Transfer RNA (tRNA) molecules are approximately 80 nucleotides in length. Lineage: Eukaryota; Metazoa; Chordata; Actinopteri; Siluriformes; Ictaluridae. The record is from Rfam by way of RNAcentral.